This 700-nucleotide ribosomal RNA is filed under the name uncultured beta proteobacterium. RNAcentral's name for it is "bacterial SSU rRNA". It matches the Rfam family "Bacterial small subunit ribosomal RNA", at positions 66 to 763 of the family's 1533-position model. Lineage: Bacteria; Pseudomonadati; Pseudomonadota; Betaproteobacteria. The record is from RNAcentral.
GCAGCACGGGUGCUUGCACCUGGUGGCGAGUGGCGAACGGGUGAGUAAUACAUCGGAACGUACCUUAUCGUGGGGGAUAACGCAGCGAAAGCUGUGCUAAUACCGCAUACGCCCUGAGGGGGAAAGCGGGGGAUCGAAAGACCUCGCGCGAUUAGAGCGGCCGAUGCCUGAUUAGCUUGUUGGUGGGGUAAAAGCCCACCAAGGCGACGAUCAGUAGCUGGUCUGAGAGGACGAUCAGCCACACUGGGACUGAGACACGGCCCAGACUCCUACGGGAGGCAGCAGCGGGGAAUUUUGGACAAUGGGGGAAACCCUGAUCCAGCAAUGCCGCGUGAGUGAAGAAGGCCUUCGGGUUGUAAAGCUCUUUUGUCAGGGAAGAAACACCGGCUCUAACACAGUCCGGGAAUGACGGUACCAGAAGAAUAAGCACCGCCUAACUACGUGCCAGCAGCCGCGGUAAUACGUAGGGUGCAAGCGUUAAUCGGAAUUACUGGGCGUAAAGCGUGCGCAGGCGGUUAUACAAGACAGGCGUGAAAUCCCCGGGCUUAACCUGGGAAUGGCGCCUGUGACUGUAUAGCUAGAGUGUGUCAGAGGGGGGUAGAAUUCCACGUGUAGCAGUGAAAUGCGUAGAUAUGUGGAGGAAUACCAAUGGCGAGGGCAGCCCCCUGGGAUAACACUGACGCUCAUGCACGAAAGCGUG